Molecule: transfer RNA, 76 nt
Filed under: Nitrospinaceae bacterium
Lineage: Bacteria; Pseudomonadati; Nitrospinota; Nitrospinia; Nitrospinales; Nitrospinaceae
Description: tRNA-Phe
Rfam family: tRNA
About the family: Transfer RNA (tRNA) molecules are approximately 80 nucleotides in length. Their secondary structure includes four short double-helical elements and three loops (D, anti-codon, and T loops). Further hydrogen bonds mediate the characteristic L-shaped molecular structure. tRNAs have two regions of fundamental functional importance: the anti-codon, which is responsible for specific mRNA codon recognition, and the 3' end, to which the tRNAs corresponding amino acid is attached (by aminoacyl-tRNA synthetases). tRNAs cope with the degeneracy of the genetic code in two manners: having more than one tRNA (with a specific anti-codon) for a particular amino acid; and 'wobble' base-pairing, i.e. permitting non-standard base-pairing at the 3rd anti-codon position.
Source: RNAcentral
GGGCGGGUAGCUCAGUCGGUAGAGCAGAGGACUGAAAAUCCUCGUGUCGGCGGUUCGAUUCCGUCCCCGCCCACCA